Molecule: long non-coding RNA, 1109 nt
Organism: Bombyx mori (domestic silkworm)
Lineage: Eukaryota; Metazoa; Arthropoda; Insecta; Lepidoptera; Bombycidae
Exons: 2
Source: RefSeq, a predicted model, not a curated record
UUAGGAUUCGGGGAGUAGUCAGCAGCGGCAAAGAUAAGGCGAUUAUCAUGACGCAUAGUCUUAUAGAAGUACCGUUCCGACGCUGACUUCAUGUAUUUCUGGAUUGAUUCAAGCUCUAUGAGUUAAGUUACCCGUCGAACUUCGCAUACGACCGGUUCUUGGAAAACGGUAACUGGUGCUUGUAUUGCCUAAAAGCACCGAAUGUGGAUCGGGAGGGACCAAAAUGAACUGUAUAAGGUGACGGCGACUGCAUGCUGUCCGGAUAUGUAAUUAGAUACGGCCACGAUAAGAGAAAUCGUGUCGCGCCGCUUUUCCAAAAAACCUUCUGACGAUACUUACUUAUUGGUUCUAAUUUAAGGUCGCCAUGAAGAUCUUGCGUGGAUUUACUUAUACUUAUAUAUUACCUAUCUAUAAUGUGUCCAUAGGCUUUAAUAAUCACGUAACAUCUGUAGGUUCUACUAUCUUACACCAAGGAAAAUUAAGGCAAUAAUCUCUACGGAACUCUUCAAAUAAUAUUCACCGAUCCAAAAGAAAUUUCAGUUUCGCCAUUUGCAAAAAGAAACUCAUGGCGAUAAUGAUUAAAUUGAUAACAGGACCAACAAGACAUUCGUAUAUAAGGUAGCUUUGAAAACGUUUCCAGCAAAUUAACAAGCAAUCGCAAACAACACCUUGUUUGAAGGACCUCAUUUACGAAUUCAGUCAACAAUUGAAAAUAAUAAUGCAACGUAAUACACAAAGCUUUGUUGGAGGUUGCAGCAGCCCUCAGAACUACAAUCAAGGUAGUCGUUUCGGCCUCAACAGACCUCUGCCACAGAACGGCUCCGGUUUCAGCCCAUCUCCUCACAUGCCACAGACGUACCAGCCACAUGGUUGUUUUAUGACAGCCUCGAUGAUUCGUAAACUCAGCAAUCCCAACUCCGGCGACAAAAUUUAACGAACCAUGUUUCAAAUGAUCAUACUAAAGUGAAAAAAAUUGUAGAAAAACUGGAAUCUCUAUUGUGAUAAUGAUAAUACGGCUACUGUUUAAGUUAAAUUUCAUGUGAGUUAUUUUUAGUUUUAAAUAAAUUACGAAAAAAAAAAUGUAAUAAAUAAAUAAUAUAAUAAAUAAA